CCUACGGGGUGCUGCAGUGGGGAAUAUUGCACAAUGGGCGCAAGCCUGAUGCAGCCAUGCCGCGUGUGUGAAGAAGGCCUUCGGGUUGUAAAGCACUUUCAGCGGGGAGGAAGGCGUUAAGGUUAAUAACCUUGGCGAUUGACGUUACCCGCAGAAGAAGCACCGGCUAACUCCGUGCCAGCAGCCGCGGUAAUACGGAGGGUGCAAGCGUUAAUCGGAAUUACUGGGCGUAAAGCGCACGCAGGCGGUCCGUCAAGUCGGAUGUGAAAUCCCCGGGCUCAACCUGGGAACUGCAUUCGAAACUGGCAGGCUAGAGUCUUGUAGAGGGGGGUAGAAUUCCAGGUGUAGCGGUGAAAUGCGUAGAGAUCUGGAGGAAUACCGGUGGCGAAGGCGGCCCCCUGGACAAAGACUGACGCUCAGGUGCGAAAGCGUGGGGAGCAAACAGGAUUAGAUACCCUAGUAGUC
Molecule: ribosomal RNA, 465 nt
Filed under: uncultured Klebsiella sp.
Lineage: Bacteria; Pseudomonadati; Pseudomonadota; Gammaproteobacteria; Enterobacterales; Enterobacteriaceae
Description: bacterial SSU rRNA
Rfam family: Bacterial small subunit ribosomal RNA
Source: RNAcentral